AGUCUUAUAUUCAAAUAUGAUUUUAAAUUGCAAAUUUAAAGGUAACUAAAAGUUUAAGGCUU
RNAcentral lists this transfer RNA (62 nucleotides) under Staphylinoidea sp. 10 KM-2017. RNAcentral describes it as "tRNA-Cys". Lineage: Eukaryota; Metazoa; Arthropoda; Insecta; Coleoptera. The record is from RNAcentral.